RNAcentral lists this ribosomal RNA (311 nucleotides) under Grammatophora oceanica. RNAcentral's name for it is "partial Bacterial small subunit ribosomal RNA". It matches the Rfam family "Bacterial small subunit ribosomal RNA", at positions 466 to 776 of the family's 1533-position model. Lineage: Eukaryota; Bacillariophyta; Fragilariophyceae; Rhabdonematales; Grammatophoraceae. The record is from RNAcentral.
UAGUGGACGUUACUCGCAGAAUAAGCACCGGCUAACUCUGUGCCAGCAGCCGCGGUAAUACAGAGGGUGCGAGCGUUAAUCGGAUUUACUGGGCGUAAAGCGUGCGUAGGCGGCUUCGUAAGUUGGAUGUGAAAUCCCCGAGCUUAACUUGGGAAUUGCAUUCAAAACUGCGAGGCUAGAGUAUGGGAGAGGAUGGUAGAAUUCCAGGUGUAGCGGUGAAAUGCGUAGAGAUGUGGAGGAACACCAGUGGCGAAGGCGGCUCACUGGCUCGAUACUGACGCUGAGGUGCGAAAGCGUGGGGAGCAAACAGG